ACGUUACAAAAGCAUAUACGUAAUAUAUGGUGUCAUAUAAAACGGCUGAAGAGGACUUUAAUUGGUCCUAGAACGGCCUGAGGUAGAGGGGUUUUAGUCGGUAGGUCCGAGGACUUUUUCCUCGGGAAUCCGACACCACCUAGUCGUACGGACGGCUGGGUGUCUUUUGAAGAUUUCCCCUCUUCCACUAAA
Non-coding RNA from Agrilus planipennis (emerald ash borer), 192 nucleotides. Lineage: Eukaryota; Metazoa; Arthropoda; Insecta; Coleoptera; Buprestidae. The record is from Rfam.